CGAAAUGCUUGCUAUGUACCGUUUUAAGUUAAGCUUCUCUAGCAUGUAACUUUUAUCGUUGACUUGCUUCCGUUUUUCAAGAGAUCUGUGUUAGCGUCCCAUAAAUAUAUCAUAUCAUGCUUUAGCAUUAAAUAAUAAGAUCUUGUUGCAAAAAUUGUGUUUAGCUCAUGUCGGCUAAUGUGGUAUUUCAAACAUUAAUUCCAUGAGGAUGUGAUCUUCUCGUGUGUGUGACGGGCCCGUGCUUAACAAAAUGAAGAUCUUCUUUAGCUUAACUAAAUUAUAUAGUUGGAAUUUCAGUUCAUUCUUGUUGGUUUAGUUAGCUUUUGCUUUAUCCAAAAAUGUGAAUUAAUCCAAUGUAGCUUUACUUGAAUUUUUCUUCUUUCCCUGAUGGUGCUUGAUAAUUAAUCGGUCAUUUUAUGUAUGGGAUGAUCCAUUAGGACUUGUUUCGUUUUGUUCAUUCUAACUUAGCAUUAUGUUAGUUAUUUCAUAAGAUUAUGUCAUUGCUUCUCUCAUGUUGUUAGAAUAGUUAUCCAAACCAAAUUGGUAUGUUCGAUACCAAUAGCUUAAAAUUAUGGAACUUGGUUUUCCUUUGUCUUCUUGCACUAUUGAUUUCUGGAAAAGGUAUGAAUGUUACUUUGACUUUUUCCCCUUCAUUGCUCAUUGCCCUCCACGU
Molecule: long non-coding RNA, 673 nt
Filed under: Solanum tuberosum (potato)
Lineage: Eukaryota; Viridiplantae; Streptophyta; Magnoliopsida; Solanales; Solanaceae
Description: long non-coding RNA (STUB_LNC008810)
Source: RNAcentral